This is a long non-coding RNA of Topomyia yanbarensis, 1447 nucleotides long. RefSeq lists it as uncharacterized. The record is from RefSeq and is a predicted model, not a curated record. NCBI's taxonomy places the organism in Eukaryota, Metazoa, Arthropoda, Insecta, Diptera, Culicidae. The transcript is spliced from 5 exons.
CAAAGCAAAUCAGCUCAACUAAUCUUGUCUCAACAUCCUGGAUCUGGCAAUCAGCCAACCAACAUUAAAUCGAUACAACCGCAGCAGUACCAACUACUCCAAAUCCAGCAACAGCCCCUCAAAAAAGGACCACAUAGCAAUUACUGCUCAAACGAACAACAGGAGUUUACGAAUGAUGGACACAUCGGAAAACAUUUCAUCGGCACAUUCUGCCUUAAAACAUGUCUGCCACUAUUUUUGAAAAUUUCACUGCCUACACAGUGCUCGUGAUUCCAUUCCAGCAGCAGCAAGCAAUCACUAUUCGAGUGCUUAUCGCCAACAUUUCACAGCAAGCUCAGCAGCAGAACCACCUUCAACCACAACAUCAGAAAAUUAAGAUUUCUUCCAGACCAUGACCAUCAUCCUAAAGGUCGGUAGCAAUAACGUUCAACCGACAGUACAACCUGGUCAGCAACCGCAAUUAGUGCAAUAGAUCCAACCCAAAUGUAGAUUUACCAACUGCAAAAAAGAUAGCAACAGCACAUUCAAACACAGUAGCAGCAGCAUACUAUACUGUACCAUGCGGUGUGCAGGACUUUUUUAUUCAGUUGGUGCGGCAAGAUCGAACACCAACAACAUAAUAUCAUGGUAAUCACCCAGCAAGAGAACGCAGUGAUAAUGGGCCAACAGAAAACACAACAUCAAGAUGCUCGGAAAGGACUUUCUCUUUCGAACAAACAUAAUGGCACGUCAUCUUCAAUCGGCUAACCGUUUGGAAUAAGCGCUCAUCGUCGGUUUCAUGGCAGGGAAGUGAGCAGGCAAAAGAAGGCAUCGUUUUUUCCGCAAGGUCGCUCUGGUCAAAAUUUCAGCGAAUUGCAAGGAAUAAACCACCCGAGGGACAGUACCCGUGCUGAUUCAGGACGAUUUCCCAUACUUUGUACCUUGCUAUUGAAUUUUAAUACCCGAUCGAAACGAUGGCAAGCGCUGCCGAUAACUGGGUCAAAAAGACGACGGAUCAAGAAAUUUCUGCACUCGGUUAGCGAACUGAGUACAUAUCAUCAAGGAUAAGGAUUCAGGCGGCUGGCAGUCCAGAGAAAGAGAAUGCGGAAAAACCUAGUCCACCGGCAGUAGAACCAAAGCUGCACCUGAUGUUUGGAGUUCGGUAGCUACAGAAAUUCUGACUCUAGCAGCUCCUGAAGAAAAACAAGCUGCAAGAGAAAAUGGAGAAACACCUUCCUCCGCGGAAGAUGCAGAGGCAUUCAACCCGGCGGAUGCAAGUUUGCUAAUGAAAGAUGUUCACUAAGGUCUAGUAGAAUCAAAGCUGGAUCUGAAGGUGCAGCGAAAGGAUUCUUCUUCGCCGGUUGGUUGGUUAAAACUUUCGAAGUUUUGCACGUGAAGCCGGGAUUACUUCAGGGAGUCUAUGCGAUGGGUUUCAACGCCCUUCUAAGAUUCAGGAGAUGGCUCUGUU